GACGAACGCUGGCGGCGCGCCUAACACAUGCAAGUCGAACGAGCGAGAGGGAGCUUGCUUUCUCGAGCGAGUGGCGAACGGGUGAGUAACGCGUGAGGAACCUGCCUCAAAGAGGGGGACAACAGUUGGAAACGACUGCUAAUACCGCAUAAGCCCACGGUGCCGCGUGGCACAGAGGGAAAAGGAGCAAUCCGCUUUGAGAUGGCCUCGCGUCCGAUUAGCUAGUUGGUGAGGUAAUGGCCCACCAAGGCGACGAUCGGUAGCCGGACUGAGAGGUUGAACGGCCACAUUGGGACUGAGACACGGCCCAGACUCCUACGGGAGGCAGCAGUGGGGAAUAUUGCACAAUGGGGAAAACCUGAUGCAGCGACGCCGCGUGGAGGAAGAAGGUCUUCGGAUUGUAAACUCCUGUUGUUGGGGAAGAUAAUGACGGUACCCAACAAGGAAGUGACGGCUAACUACGUG
Molecule: ribosomal RNA, 465 nt
Filed under: uncultured bacterium
Lineage: Bacteria
Description: partial 16S ribosomal RNA
Rfam family: Bacterial small subunit ribosomal RNA
Source: RNAcentral